This 72-nucleotide transfer RNA is filed under the name Loxodonta africana (African savanna elephant). It matches the Rfam family "tRNA". From Rfam's summary of the family: Transfer RNA (tRNA) molecules are approximately 80 nucleotides in length. Their secondary structure includes four short double-helical elements and three loops (D, anti-codon, and T loops). The record is from Rfam by way of RNAcentral. Lineage: Eukaryota; Metazoa; Chordata; Mammalia; Proboscidea; Elephantidae.
GCCUGGGUGGUAUAAACUGUUAAAACACUCAGCUGUUAACUGAAAAGCUGGUGGUUUGAGUCCACCCAGACA